Molecule: long non-coding RNA, 2947 nt
Filed under: Salmo salar (Atlantic salmon)
Lineage: Eukaryota; Metazoa; Chordata; Actinopteri; Salmoniformes; Salmonidae
Description: lncRNA (ENSSSAG00000121445.1)
Source: RNAcentral
CGACGCCCAUCCCGAAGAAGUUUAAAUAGGGAUAGGCCCCUUUUUCCAUCAAUUUCUGCCUGUAUGACGUGCCCAAAGUAAACUGCCUGUAGCUCAGGCCCUGAAGCCAGGAUAUGCAUAUAAUUGGUACCAUUGGGAAGAAAACACUUUGAAGUUUGUAGAAAUGUUAAUGGAGGAGUAGGAGAAUAUAACACAGUAGAUCCAAAGACAAACCAACCAGAAUUGUUUCUUUUGAGAGACCAUCCUCUUAGAAAUUCAAGAGAAAGGUCAUAUUGAACAUUAGCUCCCUGGAUGCAAUUCCCAUGGCUUCCAUAGGGUCUCAGCUGUCUAUGAUCAAGGUUUCAUGCUUGUAACUUCAAAAACGAAUAAGAAAUAACAGUUUUAGUAGAGGGACACAGUCUGCGCAGUCACUCAAAUUUGUGCUUGUGCGCGCCAUGAAUGCAUUACUCACCUGAUAAAAUAAGUUUCCUAUUAAACAUACUUAUUUCUGAAAGAAAUAUUAUAUUUUGAUUACGGUUUAGGGUAUCUGAGGAGUAAAUAGAAACGUAUUUUGACUCGUUGAAAAAAAGUUUAGGGGUAGAUUUUUGGAUUCCUUUCUCUGCAAGUUGAACGAGUGGAUUACUCAAAUCGAUGGUGCCAACUAAACAGACUUUUUGGGAUAUAAAGAAGGAUUUUAUCUAACAAAAUGACACUACAUGUUAUAGCUGGGACCCUUAGGAUGACAAAUCAGAGGAAGAUUUUCAAAAAGUAAUUGAAUAUUUUAUCGUUAUAUGUGAAUGUAUGAAACCUGUGCCAGUGUAAAAACAUUUUGAUGUGGGGCGCGUCCUCAAUCACAUGGCAUGUUUUCGCUGUAAUAGCUACUGUAAAUCAGACAGUGCAGUUACAUUAAAACAAAUUUAAGCUUUCAGCCGAUAUAAGACACUUAUAUGUACCUAAAUGUUUAAAAUCCAUAAUAUUUUUUAUUUGAAUUGCGCGCCCUCCAGUUUCACUGGAAAUUUUACCACUAGCGGAACCCAUAGCCCUAAGAAGUUAAUUAAAUAGUACCCGCAAAAAAACAGUCUCAACGUCAACAAGUCGCCUCUUCGCUUUUGACAUUGAGACUUGUUUGGGCCAAGAAACAUGAGUAAUGGACAUUAGACCGGUGGAAAUCUGUCCUUUGGUGGAAAUCUGUCCUAAAUUUGUGAUUUUUGGUUCUAACCGCCGUGUCUUUGUGAGACGCAGAGUAGGUGUACGGAUGAUCUCCGCAUGUGUGGUUCCCACCAUGAAGCUUUGAGGAGGAGGUGUCAUGGUAUGGUGUUGCUUUGCUGGUGACACAGUCUGUGAUUUAUUUAGAAUUCAAGGCAUACUUAACCAGCAUGGCUACCACAGCAUUCUGCAGCAAUACGCCAUCCCAUCUGGUUUGCGCUUAGUGGGACUCUCAUUUGUUUUUCAACUGGACAAUGACCCAACACCUCCAAGCUGUGUUAGGGCUAUUUGACCAAGAAGGAGAGUGUGCGUUUCCCAGAGUCUGUUCUGGACUUGGGGACUGUGAAGAGACCCUUGGUGGCAUGACUUGUGGGGUAUGCAUGGGGUGUCUGAGCUGUGUGAUAGUCGUUUGAACGGACAGCUCUUUGUGGCACUUGACCAUAUGACUGGGCAGUAGUCCAAGUGUGACAAAACUAGGGCCUGUAGGACUGUUGAUAGCAAUGCCAAGAAAGCAGAGCAGCACUUUAUUACGGCCAGACCUCUCCCCAUCUUAGCUACCAUUGCAUCAAUAUAUUUUGACCAUAACAGUUUACAAUCACGGGUUACACCAAGCAAUUUAGUCCCCUCAUCAUGCUCAAUAUCCACAUUAUACAUUACUAAAUUUAGUUGAGGUUUAAGUGAAUGGUUUGUCCCAAAUACAAUGCAUUUAGUUUUUGAAAUAUUUAGUACUAGCUUAUUACUUGUCACCCAUUCUAAAACUGUCGGCAGCUCUUUGUUAAGUGUUGCAGUGAUUUCACUUACUGUGGUAGCUGAUGUGUAUAAUGUUGAGUCAUCAUUAUACAUACACUUACAGACUUUACUCAGUGCCAGUGACAGGUCAUUAGUAAAGAUUGAAAUAUGUAAGGGGCUUGGGCAUUCCCCAGGGCAGUUGUCUAUCAGAAUUGCCUAGAUUGGUAAUGUGGACAAAUCCUACAAUUAUUACAGAAUCAAUAUGCUGAAUGUGUCUUUUUGAGUGUGAUUGCGUCCCAAAUUCCCAUUUGGAAUAGGGUGCCAAAAACGACAAUGUCUUAGCCUUGGCCAAUACCAGAGCUCUGGUAACCUGUUUUGAUUAAAUAGGUUUUAAUUCGCUGUUGAACUGAAAUCUUAUAGGCAUACCUCAAAAAGCAUGUCUGACUCAGUAUUUACAAAGAGAGAGUUUGCCAACAUUGCAGCAUUAAGGCAACGAGAUACCACAGUAUUACACCUGCUGCUACUCUCUGUUUAUCAUAUAUUCAUAGUCCCUUUAACUAUACAUUCAUGUACAUACUACCUCAAUUGGGCCGACCAACCAGUGCUCCUGCACAUUGGCUAACCGGGCUAUCUGCAUUGUGUCCCAUCCGCCAACCCCUUAUUUACGCUACUGAUACUCUCUGUUCAUCAUAUAUGCAAAGUCACUUUAACCAUAUCUACAUGUACAUACUACCUCAACCAGCCUGACUAACCGGUGUCUGUAUGUAGCCUCGCUACGUUUAUAGCCUCGCUACUGUAUAUAGCCUGUCUUUUUACUGUUGUUUUAUUUCGUUUCCUACCUAUUGUUCACCUAAUACCUUUUUUGCACUAUUGGUACGAUCCUGUAAGUAAGCAUUUCCCUGUAAGGUCUACACCUAUUAUAUUCAUCGCAUGUGACAAAUAAACUUUGAUUUGAUUUGAUACCAUGAGGCAGGUGAGCCAUACAGUUGAACCAUUGAGUGGUGAAAGAGAGGGAGAGAGAGAUUGAGCAGGU